AAUGGGGGAAACCCUGACGCAGCAACGCCGCGUGAGUGAUGAAGGCCUUCGGGUCGUGAAGCACUGUCAGAGGGGAAGAAAUGCAGGGGUGCUAAUAUCAUCUUUGCUUGACGGUACCCUCAAAGGAAGCACCGGCUAACUCCGUGCCAGCAGCCGCGGUAAUACGGAGGGUGCGAGCGCUGUACGGAAUUAUUGGGAGUAAAGCGCGUGUAGGCGGUUUGGUAAGUCUGAUGUGAAAGCCCCGGGCUCAACCAGGGAAGUGCAUUGGAAAAUGUCAGACUUGAAUACAGGAGAGGGUAGGGGAUUUCCUAGUGUAGGAGUGAAAUACGUAGAUAUUAGGAAGAACACCGGUGGCGAAGGCGGCUACCUGGACCGAUAU
This 379-nucleotide ribosomal RNA is filed under the name uncultured bacterium. RNAcentral describes it as "bacterial SSU rRNA". It matches the Rfam family "Bacterial small subunit ribosomal RNA", at positions 370 to 740 of the family's 1533-position model. The record is from RNAcentral.